RNAcentral lists this ribosomal RNA (451 nucleotides) under uncultured bacterium. RNAcentral describes it as "bacterial SSU rRNA". It matches the Rfam family "Bacterial small subunit ribosomal RNA", at positions 354 to 796 of the family's 1533-position model. The record is from RNAcentral.
GUGGGGAAUUUUUCGCAAUGGGGGAAACCCUGACGAAGCAACGCCGCGUGGAGGAUGAAGGCCUUCGGGUCGUAAACUCCUGUCGAUCGGGACGAACGUGGUCGGGUCCAAUACACCCGGCUAUCGACUGUACCGGUAAAGGAAGCUCCGGCUAACUCUGUGCCAGCAGCCGCGGUAAUACAGAGGGAGCAAGCGUUGUUCGGAAUUACUGGGCGUAAAGGGCGCGUAGGCGGUUCGAUAAGUCCCGUGUGAAAUCCCUCGGCUCAACUGAGGAAUGGCACGGGAAACUGACGGGCUUGAGUUCGGGAGAGGGAAGCGGAAUUCCGGGUGUAGCGGUGAAAUGCGUAGAUAUCCGGAGGAACACCGGUGGCGAAGGCGGCUUCCUGGACCGACACUGACGCUGAGGCGCGAAAGCUAGGGGAGCAAACGGGAUUAGAAACCCGUGUAGUCC